CCUACGGGUGGCUGCAGUGGGGAAUAUUGGACAAUGGGGGGAACCCUGAUCCAGCCAUGCCGCGUGUGUGAAGAAGGCCCUCGGGUUGUAAAGCACUUUCAGUGAGGAAGAACGCCUGGUGGUUAAUACCCAUCAGGAAAGACAUCACUCACAGAAGAAGCACCGGCUAACUCCGUGCCAGCAGCCGCGGUAAUACGGAGGGUGCGAGCGUUAAUCGGAAUUACUGGGCGUAAAGCGCGCGUAGGUGGCUUGAUAAGCCGGUUGUGAAAGCCCCGGGCUCAACCUGGGAACGGCAUCCGGAACUGUCAAGCUAGAGUGCAGGAGAGGUAGGUAGAAUUCCCGGUGUAGCGGUGAAAUGCGUAGAGAUCGGGAGGAAUACCAGUGGCGAAGGCGGCCUUCUGGACUGACACUGACACUGAGGUGCGAAAGCGUGGGUAGCAAACAGGAUUAGAUACCCUAGUAGUC
This 465-nucleotide ribosomal RNA is filed under the name Vreelandella stevensii. Its description in RNAcentral is "partial 16S ribosomal RNA". It matches the Rfam family "Bacterial small subunit ribosomal RNA", at positions 338 to 795 of the family's 1533-position model. Lineage: Bacteria; Pseudomonadati; Pseudomonadota; Gammaproteobacteria; Oceanospirillales; Halomonadaceae. The record is from RNAcentral.